This 402-nucleotide ribosomal RNA is filed under the name Verrucomicrobiota bacterium. RNAcentral describes it as "Verrucomicrobia bacterium partial 16S ribosomal RNA". It matches the Rfam family "Bacterial small subunit ribosomal RNA", at positions 355 to 776 of the family's 1533-position model. The record is from RNAcentral. Lineage: Bacteria; Pseudomonadati; Verrucomicrobiota.
UGGGGAAUUUUGCACAAUGGGGGAAACCCUGAUGCAGCGACGCCGCGUGAUUUAGAAGGCCUUCGGGUUGUAAAAAUCUUUUGUAUGGGAAGAAAAUGACAGUACCAUACGAAUAAGGACCGGCUAAUUACGUGCCAGCAGCCGCGGUAAUACGUAAGGUCCGAGCGUUGUCCGGAAUCAUUGGGCGUAAAGGGUACGUAGGCGGAUAAGCAAGUUAGAAGUGAAAUCCUAUAGCUCAAUUAUAGUAAGCUUUUAAAACUGCUCAUCUUGAGGUAUGGAAGGGAAAGUGGAAUUCCUAGUGUAGCGGUGAAAUGCGCAGAUAUUAGGAGGAAUACCGGUGGCGAAGGCGACUUUCUGGCCAUAUACUGACGCUGAGGUACGAAAGCGUGGGUAGCAAACAGG